GACGAACGCUGGCGGCGUGCCUAAUACAUGCAAGUCGAGCGAAGCGGCGGUUGGGUGAGUAACGCGUGGGUAACCUGCCCUUAAGUCUGGGAUCCCAUUUGGCAACGGAUGCUGAUACCGGAUACUAAGGUAUGGACCUGCGAUGCAUUAGCCAGGUGGUAAGGGAACGGCUUACCAAGGCGAUGAUGCAUAGCGGAUUUGAGAGACUGAUCGGCCACAUUGGGACUGAGACACGGCCCAAACUCCUACGGGAGGCAGCAGUAGGGAAUCUUCCACAAUGGACGAAAGUCUGAUGGAGCAACGCCGCGUGAGUGAAGAAGGUUGUCGGAUCGUAAAGCUCUGUUGUUGGUGAAGCGGUAAUCAACCAGAAAGUCACGGCUAACUACGUGCCAGCAGCCGCGGUAAUUC
This 408-nucleotide ribosomal RNA is filed under the name uncultured bacterium. RNAcentral describes it as "partial 16S ribosomal RNA". It matches the Rfam family "Bacterial small subunit ribosomal RNA", at positions 28 to 526 of the family's 1533-position model. The record is from RNAcentral.